GCUUCACUUCUCAAAGCGCUGCAUCCUCUCUCACCAUGGCCACAGCAGAGGUACUUCCCCAUCCCUCAAAGCAAGAACGGGACUUCAUGCAGUCAGCAUCGAAUCAAGCAAGGGAGAAAGCUCAGCUGGAGAAACAGCUUUGCAGGCUGCAACACCCAGAGGCAGAGAACCUAGGCUCCAUUCUCACCUUCUGUGGCUGUCUUUACACGUGCAGUACAGGACUGCAAGGGGACACAACCUACAGCACUGUUGGUGGGUCUACAUCAUACAAAUAUUUUCUGAUACUUCAGAUUUGCCUGCCACAAAGGGAGUCCAAUGAGCACACGACCCUAACAGCACUACAGACCAGCUCCAAACCACUCCUUAGGAAGAGCCUAAUGAAAACUAGCUAGUAAAUGUACUCAGUGAAUGAAGCUAAACCCAGCCAGCCCCAGCACACACCUGUGUUUGUACUGGACAGCCUCUCAGCACAAUCACCCCUUGCCUCUCCCCCCAAAACUGCCCUAGUUUCCAGUUCAGACAGUGGUGCCUUGUCUGCAGAACAUCGUGCUGGUUUUGCAAUGCCAAUAUUAUGUGCACUGCCCUGCUAGUACAGCAGGGCAAGAAUUGACUUCCCAUUUCCCCUGAUGCCUGAGUUGGUGGUGUUCACCACACAUUAGUGCCUGCUGCUGAUGGAGGAGGAGCAGAGCGAGCAUGUUUCUGUUGUGCUUGUGUGGUUGUGUGGGGCGAUGGAUUGAAGCCAAUAUGAGACCAAAAUACUGAGUGUUCACUUUAGGUUUUUUUUUGUUUUGUUUUGUUUUUUUUCCUGAAGCAAAGUCUUUGGGUGAAACAUGGUGGCUGUGUCCUGGGGAGUGAAAUUCAGUUAUUUUUUCUUGUAUCUUUAUCAUCUAUACACUUGCCUAUUCGUGCAACCUAAAUGCAGGACUGUAUUCAGUGAUACUAUUCACAUGCACAUGAAGGGGAAAAACGCUUUGCUUAAGCACCUCCUGAUCUGUAGUCAUUCAUGUUCAGAGCUGGCCAAAUAACAACCAGUGAACUGGAGUCUUCAGAGCUGCACUAAGAGCCCCAAGUCCUGUUGAGAUCCAGCAGAGACUGCACAUGGAUUAAGUUGGAACAUAAUGCAAAGCAGAGGAUUAUCCUCUUCUUGGUCAGUAUUUUCACACUUAAAACUGAC
Molecule: long non-coding RNA, 1174 nt
Filed under: Coturnix japonica (Japanese quail)
Lineage: Eukaryota; Metazoa; Chordata; Aves; Galliformes; Phasianidae
Description: lncRNA (ENSCJPG00005020572.1)
Source: RNAcentral